AGUUCGGAUUGGAGUCUGCAACUCGACUCCAUGAAGCUGGAUUCGCUAGUAAUCGCGCACCAGCCACGGCGCGGUGAAUACGUUCCCGGGCCUUGUACACACCGCCCGUCAAGCCAUGGAAGCCGGGAGUGCCUGAAGUGCGUGACCGCAAGGAACGCCCUAGGGUAAAACCGGUGACUGGGGCUAAGUCGUAACAAGGUAUC
This 203-nucleotide ribosomal RNA is filed under the name uncultured bacterium. RNAcentral describes it as "partial 16S ribosomal RNA". It matches the Rfam family "Bacterial small subunit ribosomal RNA", at positions 1290 to 1500 of the family's 1533-position model. The record is from RNAcentral.